This 752-nucleotide long non-coding RNA is filed under the name Oryza sativa (Asian cultivated rice). RNAcentral describes it as "long non-coding RNA (OSAT_LNC000229)". The record is from RNAcentral. Lineage: Eukaryota; Viridiplantae; Streptophyta; Magnoliopsida; Poales; Poaceae.
GUCCGGUUCGAUUUCGUUUUUUUUUCUUCUUCGUGGGGUUGGUGGGAAAGCAUGGCGGCGCCGGAUGUUGAGUACCGCUGCUUCGUCGGCGGCCUCGCCUGGGCCACCGACGACCGCUCCCUCGAAGCCGCCUUCUCCACCUUCGGCGAGAUCCUCGAGUCCAAGGUCCGAUGGAUUGAUUCCCUCUUCUCUGUGUUUUUUUGGAUGUGAUUUGGUGGUGGUGUUCUUCAGAUCUGGUUGCGUAGAUCUGACUAUGGGGGUUGUGGUAUGCGGUGCAGAUCAUCAACGAUCGGGAGACGGGGAGGUCGCGCGGGUUCGGGUUCGUGACGUUCUCGAGCGAGCAGGCCAUGCGCGACGCCAUCGAGGGGAUGAACGGCAAGGAGCUCGACGGCCGCAACAUCACCGUCAACGAGGCCCAGUCGCGCCGCUCCGGAGGCGGAGGCGGAGGCGGCUACGGCCAGCGCGGCGGAGGCGGAGGCUACGGUGGCGGCGGCGGCUACGGUGGUGGCGGCGGCGGUGGCUACGGCCAGCGCCGUGAAGGCGGCUACGGCGGUGGCGGCGGCUACGGUGGCGGCCGUGGCGGCGGCGGCGGCUACGGCGGUGGCUACGGCAGCCGCGGCGGCGGCAACUCCGACGGGAACUGGAGGAACUGAGCGGUGGGGCCCUCAUGGCCAAGUUAUCUAUCUAUCUAAUCGAGCUACCAUCAUCAUCAUCCGAUCGUUAUCAUCGUUAGUUUUGUGUGGAACUACUAU